ACGCACACUCCUACGGGAGGCAGCAGUGGGGAAUAUUGCACAAUGGGCGCAAGCCUGAUGCAGCCAUGCCGCGUGUAUGAAGAAGGCCUUCGGGUUGUAAAGUACUUUCAGCGGGGAGGAAGGCGAUAAGGUUAAUAACCUUGUCGAUUGACGUUACCCGCAGAAGAAGCACCGGCUAACUCCGUGCCAGCAGCCGCGGUAAUACGGAGGGUGCAAGCGUUAAUCGGAAUUACUGGGCGUAAAGCGCACGCAGGCGGUCUGUCAAGUCGGAUGUGAAAUCCCCGGGCUCAACCUGGGAACUGCAUUCGAAACUGGCAGGCUAGAGUCUUGUAGAGGGGGGUAGAAUUCCAGGUGUAGCGGUGAAAUGCGUAGAGAUCUGGAGGAAUACCGGUGGCGAAGGCGGCCCCCUGGACAAAGACUGACGCUCAGGUGCGAAAGCGUGGGGAGCAAACAGGAUUAGAAACCCUAGUAGUCCCA
Molecule: ribosomal RNA, 477 nt
Filed under: uncultured organism
Description: partial 16S ribosomal RNA
Rfam family: Bacterial small subunit ribosomal RNA
Source: RNAcentral